This 3229-nucleotide long non-coding RNA is filed under the name Gossypium barbadense (sea-island cotton). RNAcentral's name for it is "long non-coding RNA (GBAR_LNC015277)". The record is from RNAcentral. Lineage: Eukaryota; Viridiplantae; Streptophyta; Magnoliopsida; Malvales; Malvaceae.
UAAAAUCCAACCUAAAAAGUCUAAUAGUAGGAAUCUAUAUGGAAAAAGUGUCAUAAAGUAAUUUUAUCAUUACUUCAAAUUUGAAUUUAAAAUUUGUUGGACUGAAAAUGCUUUUUAGAAGAUUCCUCAAUCGGUGCUUUUGGUUGUCAGUGUCGCGACAUCCUUCUCGGGCAAGCCUUGACCUCUCCAUUUCCAGGUUUGUAGCUAGUGUUUCAACAUUACUAGCUCAGUGCUGCGAUCAUAAAGGCUGGUGGCGCAACAGUACCACCUUGAUGUUGCAACUUCGAAGGCAAUUCACUCUUAUGUGAAUUUUGUUGAAGUCCAACGAUAAAGGCAUUGGUGUCACGACUUUGGCUCCAAUUUAACCUUUUUUUUUCUCAUUUUUGUCUCAACCAAGUGCCUAAAACAAGCUCAACUAAUGAAAUAAACUUACCAUUUUUGUAACACCCCUAACCUGUAUCCGUCGCCGAAUUAGGGUUACGAGACAUUACUGAACAAAACACAACCAUCUCAAAAUCAAUACAUACACAUUAUAUAUAUUAUUUAAAUAUAAUAAACUUAGUCUAAUAUUAAAUAUGCAAAAUAUUAAACUUCUCUUCUAACCAUUUUUAAUAAACAAAGACAUUAUAAUUCAACUAGUAAAGACAUUACAAACUAGCUAAUCCAUAAGGAAAUAAACCAUUUUAGUAUGGCUAUUAUAUUCAUAUACAGUACAACAAAGUACGACCUUCAAAACAUUUAUCUAGUCUGUGCAUGCCAUAGUUAGAAUUUAAAUAUUUUAAAUACCGAGAUAAUAGAUAGGGUGAUGAACUUGCUGACGAUCCCUGAGCUUGAAGCUUGAUUUUUUUUUUAUCUAUAAAACAGAUAGACGUAAACAAACAAAGUAAGCUUACAUAGCUUAGUAAGUCUAUAACAUAACUAAAAUAUAUAUAAAAGAAGAAUUAUAUAAAUUCAUAAUUAAACUUAUUGAAAUCGCAAAUACUACAUAUUGUAUAUUUAAAUACUCAUAAAAAACUUACAACCGAAUACUUUUAUAUAUCAUUUACAUAUAAACAAAUGCAUACAUCAUUAUCAAAUACCUAAAACCAAAUGCAUAUACACUUCAUAUAUGUGUAACCGAACGCAUAUUUAUAUACUUAACAAAUUUUAUAACCGAAUAUAUAUAUAUAUACACACACACACACAUCAAAUGAAUAUAACCAAAUACAUUUAUACUUACCAAAAUGCAUUUAUAGAUUUCUCACAUACAUCUAUUUGAAUGCGAAUAUACCUAACAAUUUCAUAAAAUUGAAUAUAUAUAUAAAUAUUCAUUCUCAUCAAAUACAUAUAAACGAAUGUUUAUAUGCUCAUCAAACACAAUGACCAAAUAUAUAUACAUAUUCUUUAAAUCCAUAUGACUAAAUCAUAUACAUAUCCGAUACAUGUAAACUCAUAAUAUGAACUGAUUCACCAGCACAAAACCUGCUAGGCUUAAAGCCUGAUUCAAUACACUGGCACUUAGCCUGCUAGACAUAAAGUUUGAAAUAUUUCACUGGCGUCAAGCCUGCUAGACAUAAAGUCUAAAAUGUUUCACCGGCAUCAAGCCUGCUAGACUUAAAGUCUAAAAUGUUUCACCGGCAUCAAGCCUGCUAGACUUAAAGUCUAAAAUGUUUCACCGACAAUAAACCUGAUAGGCAUUGAGCCUAAAAUCUCAAUUCACAAAAGUUGUAUCUCAUAUUUGUAUAUAUUAUCCACAUAAAAAAUCAACUCAAUAAUUUAUAAACUAUAUCUCUAAUCCACAUAGGUAUAUAAAGUUCAGACAUCAAAUUCAACUCAAUAACUUAAUUAUACAUCCGAACAUAUAUAUAUAACUUAAUACAUUAAAGCCUACUACCUAAUAUCAUGCAUCGAACACCUUAUGAUAUUCCAAACUAAUAAUUACAUAUCUUCAAUUCCAUUCAAGAAUUUUUACAUGAAUAUACAUACAUAAUCGAACCUCCCUUAUACAUAUAUAAAUUUCAUACUUAAACUCAUUACAGAACAUAUAUAUAUAUAUAUGUGCAUAUUUGCAUAGUUGAACCUCAUAUAAACUUGUAUAAAUGGCAUAUCUAAAUUCAAUACAAGGACAUAUAGAUGUAUAUUUGCAUAUUAUAGACCCAAUACAAAGUUUUAUACCAAUAUAAACCUAUGUUUAUUUUCGAAUCUUAAGGACACACACACCUAUAUAUAUAUAUAUACCUUUUAUUAAACCAAUACUUUAUACUUGUAUAUACAUGUAUAAAUUCAAAACUUGUACAUAUAAAAAUAUAAAACUUUUAUACUCCAACUAAAUUAGAUAACAUUUCUAAUUGUAUAUCCUUAUAUACCUUCAUACUUUAACUAAAUUCAAAUGACUAUAUAAGUAUAUACCUAUGAUUCGAACAUGUAACAAUAAUGCAUAUAAUUCACUCAUACUUUUAAUUAUUUCAACCAACAUAUUUUAAAUUAUAAUUCAUCAAAAUACAGCACAUAUACAUACCUAUAUAUUGAUUUUAUGACAUUAAAUAGCUAAUAGACUUACCUCGGACGGUGAAAAGUCGAAACCAGACGAUUAAUCGACUACUUUAGUUUUUCCCCGAUCCAACUCCGAUUUCUUUGGUUCUUGAUCUAAUUAUAUUCAAAAUAAGUUAGUUUAAAUAUAAUUACAUUCAAUUUAAUCCAAAAACACAUAAAUGGGUAAAUUAUUAUUUUUCCCCUAACAUUUACACUUUUUACAAUUUAAUCUUUUUUGCUCAAAACACAAAAUACACAAAAUUUGACUACACUCCUUAAGGGCCGAAUUUUUCUAGUGUCCAUACAAGUCCAUAUUUUUCAUUUAUUUAGCAUUUUAGUCUCUCAAAAAUUUAUUUUCACAAUUUAACCCUAAUUACUCAAUUUCACCAAAAAUUCAAAAACAAAACAUGUCAAUCCAACAAAUAUCUUACAUUUUUCAUCAAUUAUCAUCACAAAACUUACAAGAGCAUCAAUAGCAUAACUCAAAAUCAUCAUCAAAUUUCAAAAUUGAGGCAUGGGCUAGAUAGAGUGCUAAGCAACAAUCACAAAAAAUAUAAAAAUUAUCUAAAAUAAAUCAAAAACACAUACCUAAUUAGCCAAUGCAAGUGCCGAACCCUAGAACCCUUUUUCUCUUUUCUUUUUUUCUUUGUAUUUUCGGCAACAACCAAGAUGAUAAUGGCCAUUUACAUGCUUUUGUUUUAUUUAGUUAUCAUUAUAC